This 253-nucleotide ribosomal RNA is filed under the name uncultured bacterium. RNAcentral describes it as "partial 16S ribosomal RNA". It matches the Rfam family "Bacterial small subunit ribosomal RNA", at positions 524 to 776 of the family's 1533-position model. The record is from RNAcentral.
UACGUAGGGUGCAAGCGUUAAUCGGAAUUACUGGGCGUAAAGCGUGCGCAGGCGGUUCGCCAAGUCAGGUGUGAAAUCCCCGGGCUUAACCUGGGAAUUGCGCUUGAAACUAGCGGGCUUGAGUGCGGCAGAGGGGGGUGGAAUUCCACGUGUAGCAGUGAAAUGCGUAGAGAUGUGGAGGAACACCGAUGGCGAAGGCAGCCCCCUGGGAUGAGACUGACGCUCAUGUACGAAAGCGUGGGGAGCAAACAGG